This 30-nucleotide non-coding RNA is filed under the name Homo sapiens (human). The record is from RNAcentral. Lineage: Eukaryota; Metazoa; Chordata; Mammalia; Primates; Hominidae.
UGCCAAACUUAGUGCGGGCACCCGGUCGGC